RNAcentral lists this ribosomal RNA (551 nucleotides) under uncultured bacterium. RNAcentral describes it as "bacterial SSU rRNA". It matches the Rfam family "Bacterial small subunit ribosomal RNA", at positions 60 to 604 of the family's 1533-position model. The record is from RNAcentral.
AGUCGAGCGGCAGCACGGGUACUUGUACCUGGUGGCGAGCGGCGGACGGGUGAGUAAUGCCUAGGAAUCUGCCUAGUAGUGGGGGAUAACGUCCGGAAACGGGCGCUAAUACCGCAUACGUCCUACGGGAGAAAGUGGGGGAUCUUCGGACCUCACGCUAUUAGAUGAGCCUAGGUCGGAUUAGCUAGUUGGUGAGGUAAUGGCUCACCAAGGCGACGAUCCGUAACUGGUCUGAGAGGAUGAUCAGUCACACUGGAACUGAGACACGGUCCACACUCCUACGGGAGGCAGCAGUGGGGAAUAUUGGACAAUGGGCGAAAGCCUGAUCCAGCCAUGCCGCGUGUGUGAAGAAGGUCUUCGGAUUGUAAAGCACUUUAAGUUGGGAGGAAGGGCAGUUACCUAAUACGUGAUUGUUUUGACGUUACCGACAGAAUAAGCACCGGCUAACUCUGUGCCAGCAGCCGCGGUAAUACAGAGGGUGCAAGCGUUAAUCGGAACUACUGGGCGUAAAGCGCGCGUAGGUGGUUUGUUAAGUUGGAUGUGAAAGCCCC